RNAcentral lists this ribosomal RNA (520 nucleotides) under uncultured bacterium. RNAcentral's name for it is "partial 16S ribosomal RNA". It matches the Rfam family "Bacterial small subunit ribosomal RNA", at positions 355 to 891 of the family's 1533-position model. The record is from RNAcentral.
UGGGGAAUAUUGGACAAUGGGGGCAACCCUGAUCCAGCCAUGCCGCGUGAGUGAUGAAGGCCUUCGGGUUGUAAAGCUCUUUUGGCGGGGACGAUGAUGACGGUACCCGCAGAAUAAGCCCCGGCUAACUUCGUGCCAGCAGCCGCGGUAAGACGAAGGGGGCUAGCGUUGUUCGGAAUUACUGGGCGUAAAGCGAGUGUAGGCGGUUGCCGUAGUCAGGUGUGAAAGCCUUGAGCUCAACUCAAGAAAUGCACUUGAUACUGGGUGACUAGAGGACCGGAGAGGAUAGUGGAAUUCCCCAGUGUAGUGGUGAAAUACGUAGAGAUUGGGAAGAACACCAGUGGCGAAGGCGGCUAUCUGGACGGUUACUGACGCUAAGACUCGAAAGCGUGGGGAGCAAACAGGAUUAGAUACCCUGGUAGUCCACGCCGUAAACGAUGGGUGCUAGACGUUGGCGAGCUUGCUCGUCAGUGUCGCAGCUAACGCGUUAAGCACCCCCGCCUGGGGAGUACGGCCGCAA